Molecule: long non-coding RNA, 1023 nt
Organism: Gadus morhua (Atlantic cod)
Lineage: Eukaryota; Metazoa; Chordata; Actinopteri; Gadiformes; Gadidae
Exons: 4
Source: RefSeq, a predicted model, not a curated record
UUGACUCUGUUCCACGCUCGUCGCCAGCCUGUGCACUUGGGUUCAGCCAAACGCGUACGUUACACUCUCACUAGACUUUCUCCAGAUAUCUUGGACUUCUAAGCAGGAGACACCAUCAUUCAGAACCUGCAGCAGACCGGUCCGCGGGGCUUCCACUGGAGGAGGAGAUCACAAGGCCUUUGGACGGGUGACAGCUGGGGUCCCAACCCUACCCGACAACCUCCAGAGUUAGGAGGAAUCUAUGAUAGGAGGGGAGAGGACAGGCGAGGAGUGGACCCGGAGUUGCCACGAUGCAGCCCAACAGGCGGUCUGUCUGAAACACUUCCUCUGGUCUCAGUCCCCUCACAUGAGGCCAAAGGCUGGUGGCUAUGAACCAGUCAGGAAGGAGGGGCCAGUCAUCCAACCAGAUCCUAUUAAAGUUCACAUUCAAGGCCUUUUCAGAGUGUCUGAUUCCAUUUGACCAGAGACAUGGGACUACAGCCCCAUGAUGUGUGUUGACUGGUCCAUGCAGAACCGUGAUAUUCUACUGCCACCUAGUGCUGACUACGAGAAGUGGCAGUAUAGGCAGUGAAUAACGCCUAACACUCGCCCAACUAUGGUCCUGCCGCUACGACGUCUUCUCUCUUUCGGACUUCUUUGGGAAGAUGAAUGAAAUUUGAGCAGGCGUCAGUUCAAUAACUUUCCACAGUUGACCAAGAACUUGCUGAGAUGGCCAGGAGUAAAGCAGCCAAAACACAUGCCAUUUGACUUCAGGAACUCCACAAGUUCUUUGUGAGGCUGAUCUUUUAUUUUGUUGCAUGAAGCUAGAGUGUGAGACUCCUGGAAGUACAAACACGGCUUCUCAAAUGUGAUCCUGGUCUUGCCUGAAUUAGCUGGCAUCACAUAUGUUCCUUGAGGCCUUUUAUCUUCUGUGAAAACGUUGGUAGCGAAGCUGCUUCCACGGACUUCUCUCCUAAAAGGAUGUCUUUCCUUUUGUUCAACCUUCCCAACCGGGGUUGGUCGGCUGUCUGGUAGAUUACCGAA